AAAAUACUAUUAUUAAAAUUACUCAUUCUAUUCUCUUCAUUAUUUUUUUAACUCUCUUUCUCUUUCUUUUCUUCUAAUAAAUUUUAUUCAGCCUUUAUUACAACAAUGGAAAAAUUUUAAGAGUUCACAUAAUAGUUAUUCUCUUCCAAACCUCUGUGUCCCUUUUAAACUAAACUUUACUCAAAUCCCACACACAAUUUGCUAAACUUUCUAAUGUACCUUGAUAUUCUCGUUCUUAACGAAUAUAAUUCUUUCUUCAGAAAAAAACAUGAAUUUUGUCGGAUCAAUUCCACAUACAUCUAACAAAGCAAUUUAAAAGGAAGACUAUAAAUUACCAAUCUCAUAACUAUUUAUAUUAUGAUUGUAUUAUUUUAAUCAAACUUUUAAGAUUACUAAUUUUGAAUAAAAAAUCACUGCUUAAUAAUAUCUUUAUUAAACUCAAUCAAAUAAAAUAUAAUAUAAUCUUAUAUUUUAAUUCAAAAUUAUAUCUCUUAUCCCCCUAAAAUGAUAGUAUAUCAUGAAAAAGGAUGAGGUGAAUAGUAAAUCUCUCUCUCUAUAUAAAAGAAGAUAAUAGACAUGUUGAUGUGGCACAUUUUAGAAGCAAGGAAAUUUAUUUAUCUUUUUUCUCAAUUUUUUGGAGUGUUAAUCCUUAUUUUGCUUUUAUUAAUUUUAAUAAUUGAUUUAUUUUAAGAAGUUCAGAAGUCAAUUAUUUUAAUAACUAGCAUUUAAGCCAGAAAACAGGUGAACCGGUACUCUAAUAUUAAUUACUGCACAUACUAUAAACACGCUUAAUCUUUUUUCAUUCUUCAGUUUUCAUCCAAUUUUUCCUUUUCUUCCUUUUCCAUUCUUCUUUCUAAUUUUCUUUCUUUUAUGUAAAUAUUUGUGUUUUUGAUAUUUUUUCUUUGUAAUUUUUUUCUCAUAAUAUAUCUGAUUUUAUUAAUUUUAGUUUCGUUGAUUUGCAUAUUUGCAGGUUGUAGGAUCUGUAAACUGGUUGGUUUGGAUCAUUUUAUUUUUGAAAUAAUUAUUAAAGUUGUUGUUUUGUAAGUAAAUCUUUUCAAGUUCUUUAAGGUUUGUUGAUUUACAGAUUUGCAGGUUGCAGGAUUUGUAAACUGAUUGUUUUGGAUCAUUUUAUUUUUGGGAUAAUUGUUAAAGUUGUUGUUUUGUAAGUAAAUCUUUUCAAGUUCAUUACGAGGAAUAAUAAUUGUUGCAUCACUCAUUACUUUUUGGAAGGACAAACUUGCUUCUUCUUUUUAUGUUGUCACUCUUCAAAAAAUUGUAUCACUUUAGUGAUUAAGCUUAUCCUACAAUCUAGAAAUGUGACAAAUAAGUAGCAAGGCUUCCAAUCAUAUUUUAUAAUUUGAAGUUGAUUUUGUUAAACUAUGAUUUCACACAAACAAUGCUUGCAAGCUCUUCAAUUAUGUUAUUGUUACAGGAGAGAACUGUCAGGCACGAUACUGCAGAGAAUGAUAAGAGUUUAUGCUCGUGCAAUUUUGUAAACCUCUUCUGUUGCAUUCAUAGUCUUGGCAGCAAGAAUCCAUCCAAUGGCACCGAAGAUGUCCUUUUAGAACAAGUUUUGGUUGUAGUAUGUAAUGUCAAAAAGAAACCAUGUGCUGGUUGUGCCAAGCAAGUGAAAUCCAUGCCGAUUAAGAAAUCGUUUCGUGAACAAAUCAAAUUCAUUGCUGAACUUUACAUCAAUAUUAUUUAUAUGAUAUGAUGAGAGAAUUAUUUAAAUAAAUUAUUACCGCGCAAAGCGCGAUCAAAUUCACUAGUAUAUUAGUAAAGAACUCAUGCUGAAAAAAAAAAAAAGAUAAAAAAAAUAGGGGCUAAUUAAACCCAAGUGGAAUGCUUUAUUGAAUUAAUAACAUUUGCCUUUGAAACCCUUGGGCUAAUAGCUUUAGGAUAUGUUGUAACACCUUCUGGUAAUAUUCUCGGAUUACCUCUAAGAUAAGGUCUUUUCGGUAUUAUCGAAUUAGUAUUUCUAGAAAUUGGGCUAACGGCAAGACUAACAACAUGACUUAUAGAGGGUGCUGGGCUAAUAGCUUUAUGAAAUGUAACACCCUGUGGUGAUUGUCCAUGAUUAUUACGAUCUCUGAUUAGAUAAGGACUUUGAAACAUGAUCGCGUGUUUCUUCAAAAUUUCAAAGUAAGGUUUAGAAGUAACAUCGCCAAUUAAAUGGUCAACGUCAUCUUUAGAGUGCUUUUCCUUAAACCCUUUGCUUUUAUGAAAUGGAAUUCCUCGUGGUAAUAUCCCAGGAUUACGUCUAAGAUAAGGUCUUUUCGGUAGUACUAUAGAAUUUUUCUUCAAAUCUCUCGAAUCAGUACUAGACCUCUUGCUAACGGCAGGACUAAUAGCAGGACUCUCAGAAAGUUGUGGGCUAAUAGCUUUAUGAAACGUAACACUUCUUUGUAAUUGUCCAGGAUUACGACCUCUAAGAUAAGGCCUCUCAUGAAGCAUGAUCGCGUGUUUCCUCAAAUUUUCAAAGUGAGGCUCAUCACCAAUUACAUAGCCAAAGUUGUUUACCGAAUGAUUUUCGAUAAACUCUUGGCUUUUAUGAAACGGAAUUUCUUGUGGCAAUAUUCCAAAAUUACCUAUAAUAUAAGGCCUUUCGGAAAUUUUUAUAAAUUCCGAUCGUACUAAAAUAGUUCUGCAUGUUAUUAUAAAGAAGAUGAGAGGGGAAAUGGAGAUUUUUUGCACCAUUUUUGCUAUAAAAAAAAAAAGUAAUGGAAAAUUAACAAGGGGAGAA
RNAcentral lists this long non-coding RNA (2743 nucleotides) under Capsicum annuum. RNAcentral's name for it is "long non-coding RNA (CANN_LNC003835)". Lineage: Eukaryota; Viridiplantae; Streptophyta; Magnoliopsida; Solanales; Solanaceae. The record is from RNAcentral.